This 381-nucleotide unclassified non-coding RNA is filed under the name Hevea brasiliensis (rubber tree). Lineage: Eukaryota; Viridiplantae; Streptophyta; Magnoliopsida; Malpighiales; Euphorbiaceae. The record is from RNAcentral.
GGCAGUUGAUGUUUCAAAGGUAGAUAAAGUGGUGUCAAAGAAAAAAAUAUAAGAAGCCUUAAAUGCUAGGUCGUUGAUGAAUGAUGAUGGGUUCUCUCUAUUCAUUAUGUUUCUCGUAAGGCCGAAGCGUACCCAAUAUACCCACCACCUCCCUCCUCUUGGUAUAUAUGUCUUUGUUUAAAUUCCAAUUUCUGUAGAUCAACGGCACCCUUUGUCAUAAUCUUCUGUUUUGAACAAUUGGAGGCCAAAAAAAUGGAGUUUUAUCCACACCCAUCUCGAUUUUCUAUGUCUUCAUUGCCUUUCUUUGGAGAUUUCGUUGGAAAGGUUAAAGAAGUUUGCGAUUUUGCUGUUUCUGCAAUCAUCGGGAACGUUUUCUCUGCG